UACAGAGGUCUCAAGCGUUGUUCGGAUUCAUUGGGCGUAAAGGGUGCGUAGGUGGCGCGGUAAGUCGGGUGUGAAAUUUCGGAGCUUAACUCCGAAACUGCAUUCGAUACUGCCGUGCUUGAGGACUGGAGAGGAGACUGGAAUUUACGGUGUAGCAGUGAAAUGCGUAGAGAUCGUAAGGAAGACCAGUGGCGAAGGCGGGUCUCUGGACAGUUCCUGAUACUGAGGCACGAAGGCCAGGGGAGCAAACGGG
This 253-nucleotide ribosomal RNA is filed under the name uncultured bacterium. RNAcentral's name for it is "partial 16S ribosomal RNA". It matches the Rfam family "Bacterial small subunit ribosomal RNA", at positions 524 to 776 of the family's 1533-position model. The record is from RNAcentral.